UUCUCAAAAUGUUUUAUAACA
Molecule: non-coding RNA, 21 nt
Filed under: Caenorhabditis elegans
Lineage: Eukaryota; Metazoa; Nematoda; Chromadorea; Rhabditida; Rhabditidae
Source: RNAcentral